UACGGAGGAUGCGAGCGUUAUCCGGAUUUAUUGGGUUUAAAGGGUGCGUAGGCGGCAUUAUAAGUUAGUGGUAAAAUAUUGGGGCUUCACCUCACUACGCCAUUAAUACUGUAGAGCUAGAGAACAGACGAGGUAGGCGGAAUAAGUUAAGUAGCGGUGAAAUGCAUAGAUAUUAGGAGGAACACCAGUGGCGAAGGCGGCUUACUGGACUGUAACUGACGUUGAGGCUCGAAAGCGUGGGGAGCAAACAGG
This 252-nucleotide ribosomal RNA is filed under the name uncultured Odoribacter sp. RNAcentral describes it as "partial 16S ribosomal RNA". It matches the Rfam family "Bacterial small subunit ribosomal RNA", at positions 524 to 776 of the family's 1533-position model. Lineage: Bacteria; Pseudomonadati; Bacteroidota; Bacteroidia; Bacteroidales; Odoribacteraceae. The record is from RNAcentral.